Long non-coding RNA from Myotis davidii, 850 nucleotides. RefSeq lists it as uncharacterized. The record is from RefSeq and is a predicted model, not a curated record. The transcript has 4 exons. Lineage: Eukaryota; Metazoa; Chordata; Mammalia; Chiroptera; Vespertilionidae.
ACCUGCCGCCUCCCGCUGGGCAGUGGCGCGGAGGCGGGACCUGUGUGUCGGCGUGUCCGUCAGUGCCUGGCUCGGCCCUCCCCGUCGGAGGCUGGGCAGGGGGACGUGGCAGAGGGGAAGCCACGUGCUAGAGGCGACUCCAGGACACACCCCUCCACCUCCCUCCGCUCUGCCUCCUCCUCCUCUCCUCGGUCCUUCUUAGAAAACAAGCACAACUUGUUCCUGGAACUCGCUGGAGCAGUUACACGCUUCGUCAGCUCUAGUUCAGAGAACAAAACAAUCCCACCAAUUCCUUUGAACUUCCGGACCAUCCUGAUGCCUGCACCGCGUGGGCCCUGCCUCGGCCCAGACGGAGCUACAGUAAAAAUAAAUGUAAGAAUAGAUACAGCUUUAGGACACCUGCCUGAGCUCCGACGUCCUCCUCCGCCCUGGCUCACGCGGACCGAGCCCGUUUGUCCGGCUCCCCGGCUUCCCACGUUCGUGACGCAGCGUGUCUGGUCUGGUCUGGACCCGGCACCCUCUGGCGCGCCCAGCGGGACUCCUGCUGUGGGACCGCCUCUCCUGCGGCGGCCGUCCCCGCACAGGGCGGCUGUGUCUCGACUUUCUGCGCGGCCGUGACCUGCUGGCUCCUCCUGAGCUGGUGCCGGGUUCGCAGGCUCGGCCCACUGCUGCCAAGGCCGUUCUCCGUUGCUCUUUCUCAUCUGGGUCAGGAGUCCCCCGUUUCCUACGGGAAUCCGUCCGGAGGCGAGGCCACGUCUGGAGAACUGGAUGAAAUAAAUUAAGAAAAACCGCAGGACCUCCCCUGCGUGCGGACAGCCCUGCCCACGGCACGGAGGUCCCUCCAUCGCCU